RNAcentral lists this ribosomal RNA (2804 nucleotides) under Pseudomonas syringae pv. syringae PD2774. Its description in RNAcentral is "bacterial LSU rRNA". It matches the Rfam family "Bacterial large subunit ribosomal RNA". The record is from RNAcentral. Lineage: Bacteria; Pseudomonadati; Pseudomonadota; Gammaproteobacteria; Pseudomonadales; Pseudomonadaceae.
GUUAUAUGGUCAAGUGAAGAAGCGCAUACGGUGGAUGCCUUGGCAGUCAGAGGCGAUGAAAGACGUGGUAGCCUGCGAAAAGCUUCGGGGAGUCGGCAAACAGACUGUGAUCCGGAGAUGUCUGAAUGGGGGAACCCAGCCAUCAUAAGAUGGUUAUCUUGUACUGAAUACAUAGGUGCAAGAGGCGAACCAGGGGAACUGAAACAUCUAAGUACCCUGAGGAAAAGAAAUCAACCGAGAUUCCCUUAGUAGUGGCGAGCGAACGGGGACCAGCCCUUAAGUUGUAUUGAGAUUAGCGGAACGUUCUGGAAAGGACGGCCAUAGUGGGUGAUAGCCCUGUACGCGAAAAUCCCUUUGCAAUGAAAUCGAGUAGGACGGGGCACGAGAAACCUUGUCUGAAUAUGGGGGGACCAUCCUCCAAGGCUAAAUACUACUGACUGACCGAUAGUGAACCAGUACCGUGAGGGAAAGGCGAAAAGAACCGCGGAGAGCGGAGUGAAAUAGAUCCUGAAACCGUAUGCGUACAAGCAGUGGGAGCCCACUUUGUUGGGUGACUGCGUACCUUUUGUAUAAUGGGUCAGCGACUUAUUUUCAGUGGCGAGCUUAACCGAAUAGGGGAGGCGUAGCGAAAGCGAGUCUUAAUAGGGCGUCUAGUCGCUGGGAAUAGACCCGAAACCGGGCGAUCUAUCCAUGGGCAGGUUGAAGGUUGGGUAACACUAACUGGAGGACCGAACCGACUACCGUUGAAAAGUUAGCGGAUGACCUGUGGAUCGGAGUGAAAGGCUAAUCAAGCUCGGAGAUAGCUGGUUCUCCUCGAAAGCUAUUUAGGUAGCGCCUCAUGUAUCACUGUAGGGGGUAGAGCACUGUUUCGGCUAGGGGGUCAUCCCGACUUACCAAACCGAUGCAAACUCCGAAUACCUACAAGUGCCGAGCAUGGGAGACACACGGCGGGUGCUAACGUCCGUCGUGAAAAGGGAAACAACCCAGACCGUCAGCUAAGGUCCCAAAGUCAUGGUUAAGUGGGAAACGAUGUGGGAAGGCUUAGACAGCUAGGAGGUUGGCUUAGAAGCAGCCACCCUUUAAAGAAAGCGUAAUAGCUCACUAGUCGAGUCGGCCUGCGCGGAAGAUGUAACGGGGCUCAAACCAUGCACCGAAGCUACGGGUAUCAUCUUAGGAUGAUGCGGUAGAGGAGCGUUCUGUAAGCCUGUGAAGGUGAGUUGAGAAGCUUGCUGGAGGUAUCAGAAGUGCGAAUGCUGACAUGAGUAACGACAAUGGGUGUGAAAAACACCCACGCCGAAAGACCAAGGUUUCCUGCGCAACGUUAAUCGACGCAGGGUUAGUCGGUCCCUAAGGCGAGGCUGAAAAGCGUAGUCGAUGGAAAACAGGUUAAUAUUCCUGUACUUCUGGUUAUUGCGAUGGAGGGACGGAGAAGGCUAGGCCAGCCUGGCGUUGGUUGUCCAGGUUUAAGGUGGUAGGCUGAGAUCUUAGGUAAAUCCGGGAUCUUAAGGCCGAGAGCUGAUGACGAGUGUUCUUUUAGAACACGAAGUGGUUGAUGCCAUGCUUCCAAGAAAAGCUUCUAAGCUUCAGGUAACCAGGAACCGUACCCCAAACCGACACAGGUGGUUGGGUAGAGAAUACCAAGGCGCUUGAGAGAACUCGGGUGAAGGAACUAGGCAAAAUGGCACCGUAACUUCGGGAGAAGGUGCGCCGGUGGAGGUGAAGCAUUUACUGCGUAAGCCCCUGCCGGUCGAAGAUACCAGGCCGCUGCGACUGUUUAUUAAAAACACAGCACUCUGCAAACACGAAAGUGGACGUAUAGGGUGUGACGCCUGCCCGGUGCCGGAAGGUUAAUUGAUGGGGUUAGCGCAAGCGAAGCUCUUGAUCGAAGCCCCGGUAAACGGCGGCCGUAACUAUAACGGUCCUAAGGUAGCGAAAUUCCUUGUCGGGUAAGUUCCGACCUGCACGAAUGGCGUAACGAUGGCGGCGCUGUCUCCACCCGAGACUCAGUGAAAUUGAAAUCGCUGUGAAGAUGCAGUGUAUCCGCGGCUAGACGGAAAGACCCCGUGAACCUUUACUAUAGCUUUGCACUGGACUUUGAAUUUGCUUGUGUAGGAUAGGUGGGAGGCUUUGAAGCGUGGACGCCAGUCUGCGUGGAGCCAACCUUGAAAUACCACCCUGGCAACUUUGAGGUUCUAACUCAGGUCCGUUAUCCGGAUCGAGGACAGUGUAUGGUGGGUAGUUUGACUGGGGCGGUCUCCUCCUAAAGAGUAACGGAGGAGUACGAAGGUGCGCUCAGACCGGUCGGAAAUCGGUCGUAGAGUAUAAAGGCAAAAGCGCGCUUGACUGCGAGACAGACACGUCGAGCAGGUACGAAAGUAGGUCUUAGUGAUCCGGUGGUUCUGUAUGGAAGGGCCAUCGCUCAACGGAUAAAAGGUACUCCGGGGAUAACAGGCUGAUACCGCCCAAGAGUUCAUAUCGACGGCGGUGUUUGGCACCUCGAUGUCGGCUCAUCACAUCCUGGGGCUGAAGCCGGUCCCAAGGGUAUGGCUGUUCGCCAUUUAAAGUGGUACGCGAGCUGGGUUUAGAACGUCGUGAGACAGUUCGGUCCCUAUCUGCCGUGGACGUUUGAGAUUUGAGAGGGGCUGCUCCUAGUACGAGAGGACCGGAGUGGACGAACCUCUGGUGUUCCGGUUGUCACGCCAGUGGCAUUGCCGGGUAGCUAUGUUCGGAAAAGAUAACCGCUGAAAGCAUCUAAGCGGGAAACUUGCCUCAAGAUGAGAUCUCACUGGAACCUUGAGUUCCCU